CAUUACUAUCAAAAUGUGAUCACAGGCUUUGCUGCUAAGCUUACACCGGAAGAAGCCAAAGCAAUGGAGAAGAAGGAAGGGUUUGUGUCAGCAAGAGUCGAGAGAUCCUUGUCUCUACAUACUACUCACACUCCCGAGUUCUUAGGUCUGCUGCAAAAUCAAGGGAGCUAUUGGAGCUCUGCACAUUUCGGUAGAGGAGUGAUCAUUGGUGUUAUUGAUAGUGGCAUCAAGCAUGAUCACCCUUCGUUUGGUGAUGAAGGGAUGCCUCCACCUCCUGCAAGAUGGAAAGGUAAGUGUGAGUUCAACGGGAAGAAGACUUGUAACAACAAGCUUAUAGGUGCUAGAAGCUUUGUUUCUCAAGGGGAUAUCCCGUCGGAAGAUACUCUCCAUGGGACUCAUACUGCUGGAGAAGCUGGUGGGAUUCCUGUGGAAGGUGCCAAUGUGUUUGGACAAGCUAACGGAACUGCGAUGGGUAUCGCACCGUUUGCCCACUUGGCGAUGUACAAGGUUUGUGGAACUAAUUCUGAAUGCAUGGAGAGUACGGUAUUGGCAGCAAUUGAUGCUGCUAUAGAUGAUGGUGUUGAUGUGCUUUCAAUGUCACUUGCACUUCAAUAUGAUAAUUUGUAUGAUGAUGUUAUUGCAUUGGGUGCAUUUAGAGCCAUUCAAAAUGGAAUAUUUGUUAGCUGCUCAGCUGGCAACUUAGGACCAAAUAGCUCUUCUUUAGUAAAUGUGGCACCUUGGAUUCUAACCGUUGGAGCAAGUACCAUUGAUAGGGAUAUCAGGUCAACAGUGACAUUAGGCAAUAACGCGCAAUUUCAUGGCCAAUCGAGUUUCCAGCCUAAGGACUUUCUUCAACAGCAAUUACCGAUCGUUGAUGCUGGUGCGAGUAUCAAUGCAUCAACAGCAUUUUGUGAAGAAGGGUCACUGAAGAACAUUGAUGUCAGAGGAAAGAUUGUUCUGUGCCAGGUGAGAAGUGUCAAUCGGAGCAUCAUUCGAGGAAUUGAAGUCAAGGAAAAUGGUGGAGCAGCCAUGAUAUUGAUCAAUGGCUUAGAACAGGGCUGCACUACUCAAGCUGAAGCCCAUGUCCUUCCUGCAUCAAACGUCAAUUACAAAGACGGAUUGGCAAUCAAAGCUUACUUGAACUCCACGUCAUCCCCAUCUGCAACAAUCUCAUUCCAAGGUACUUUGUUCGGAAAGUUGAGUGCUCCACAAGUAGCCUCGUUCUCGUCAAGAGGUCCCAGCAAACAAUGCCCCGGGAUCCUGAAACCUGACAUCAUUGGUCCUGGAGUGAGCAUUUUAGGUGCUUGGGCAUACUCGGUGGACAAUUCUACCAAUUCAUUCAAUAUAGUCUCGGGAACUUCGAUGUCUUGCCCACAUCUUAGCGGUGUUGCAGCUGUAAUCAAGGCAAUGCAUCCAGAUUGGUCACCUGCUGCCAUAAAGUCAGCAAUUUUAACCACUGCUUACACAGUUGACCUUAGUGGCAAGCCAAUCUCCAAUGAGCAGAAUUCUCCUGCUACUGCCUUUGAUAUGGGUGCUGGCCAUGUGAACCCACCAAAAGCUUUGGAUCCAGGUUUGAUAUAUGAUAUCCAACCAGAUGAUUACGCUGCGUAUAUCUGCAGUUUGGGUUACAAUGACGCACAAGUAAGAAUGAUCGUGCAGUGGAAAGUGAAGUGCUCGAACGAAUCUUCCAUACCCGGUGCUCAACUGAACUACCCUACAUUUUAUGUCUCUCUGGGUUCUAGUCCACAAACACAUACCAGAACAGUCACCAAUAUUGGCACGCAUAACUCGACUUACAGCAGCAAGGUAUUCCCACCAGAAGGUGUCGAUGUUAAAGUCGAGCCAAGUGAGUUUAAGUUCAACGAGCUGAAAGAGAAAGCAACGUAUUCGAUAACAUUCAACAGGGUCGGAAAUGCGACAGGAACUAUGAGCCAAGGUUCCUUGGUGUGGUCAUCUACUGAUGAUAGGUACAAAGUUGUGAGCACAAUUGCUGUGGUAUUUGUUUGAUGUAUAAGGAAUCUACGCCUAUCCGCUAGUAAGGGUUAAAAUGAAGCUUAAUAUUCUAGGGAUUUCAAUCUGUUGCUGCUAUAAAUAAAUAAUGUUGUUAUUAUGUAAUUACAAGUACGUGGUAUAGAGUUAAUGCCUCCGCAAUUCCAUGGAUCACUUCACGGUAUUGCAGUGCUCUCUCGACAGAACCACCAAAUCUCGAGUUACGGGUUACGAACAAUCAAAACCCUUAAAAAUAUUUCUUAACUUUAUUUUGCUAUUAUUUGAAGGAAUUAACCGGGUAAAACCUCAAAUUUUAGUCAUUCCUAACAUGCAUAUCAAAUAUUAACCAAUGUAAAAAUGGUCAAUUUUCAUGUAAAAAUGGUCAAAAUUUGACCAUUUUCACAAGAAAAUUUCAAAAUUUUCAAAUCGGCUAAUAUUUGACAUGCAUGUUGGAAAUGACUAAAAAUCAAAUUUUGCUUUGAUAACCCAUGUAAAUAAUCAUCGAAUGAAGUUAAAAAUCAACUUUACUUGGUGUUUUGUUAGUGUUGAACAUUUUCAAAUUGGCUUACGUUAUGGGUGUUGAGCCAUCGUUACAUGAAUUUUAUUUUAUUAACUUUGACCAUACACAAUUUUGUGGGAACCAAAANNNNNNNNNNNNNNNNNNNNNNNNNNNNNNNNNNNNNNNNNNNNNNNNNNNNNNNNNNNNNNNNNNNNNNNAUACUUUUUUUACUUAUUUUAUUAAUAUUAAAUAGUCUAAUGUUGUAUAUAUCAUACAAAAAAUGAAAAGAUUCCAUCGUGGCCAGGACUUAAAUUCGGGCCUUUCAUGUAAGAGCCAAAUAUCCUGACCAACUAAACUACAACGGAUUUGCUUGGCAUCCUUACUUUUUCCUAAACAAACUAGAAAAUAAACCUUAGUACUCUUGCGUUUCGAUUGUGGCUAAGUGCCUCACUAUUUUAAAUAGUAAUCCUAUGUUAUGUUUGGCGAUAGGAAUUAUGAUUUCUAGGAAAGUUGAAUUAAAAUAGUACAAAAUAGUUGAGUUGAGGUUGAAAGGAAUUGAGAAAAAAGUGCUAAAUUCAAAGGAUACGAAAGAUUCCUAAAAAAGUUUAUUUUCCCAUGAAAUAGAUUGAGAAACACGAUUCCAAUUGAAAUCCUUAUUUCCUUUGAUUCAAGUUUCCAUCCACAAUAUUUUUUUACUCCAACUCAAUUUUUUUAAACUAAUCUCAAUUCAACUUUCCUAGGAAUCAUGAUUUCUAUUGCCAAACAUAGGCUUAGUAACUCGUUAGUUUCUCGAAAUUUGAUCAUACCUAGUACCCUUGCGAUUUUCCCGUGCCUUACUGCCUCGCACGAUUGCAGUUCGAGAUCUUAGUACCUCACAUUCCGUUCCUACUACUCCGUGCCUCGCAGUUUGUUCGUGGCUUAGUGCCUCACACUUUCAUCAUGGCUCUAGUGGCUCGUGGUUUGUUCAUGGCUUAACGCCCCGCAUGUUGACCGUGGAUGUGACCUUCGUGUUAUAAUGAACACUGUGCUUGGCUACUGCAUCGUAGUUUUUCUGCAACGCUUGCUUGGUUAGAUCUUUACUUUCAGUGCUUAAACGUUGUGCUUUCAGAUUUCUCCAUCUCAGAAGUUUGAUUUGACAAGAAAAAAUCACACUUAGUUUUCCCUCACACGUCGAAGCUUACAAUGAAAGGUGCAACUGGCGGGGUUAAAGACAAUCUGCUAAAGAAAAUCUGCAACUUGUUUCUUGGAAACAAUGUAAAUGGAAAUCUUAUCCUUAUGCUACAUCAACGGAAUACCACCACAAGAUGGAGAGAUAAUCCAUUUUGGAAGUUCAUGACUGAUACAAUAACUCUAAUUAGUACUAUCAAGUAAAAGGAAGUUUAGCAGUUUCACCAUAGUUACACACAAAGAAACAUGAAAGCCUUACUUCUCAUCACAUUCUUCUUCUUCUUCUUCUCCUUACAAGAAGCAUCAGCUUCUGGAAAAAGCAACUUAGACACUUACAUUGUGUUUCUACAGAAACCAGAGAGCCUAGUAUCCACACAAUCAACUGAUUUUGAUUUAUAUUGCUGGUACCAAACAUUCCUUCCUGAAACUGUAUUAAGCUCAAGUGAAGAACAGCGCAUGGUGCAUUCAUAUCGAAAUGCGAUCACCGGCUUUGCUGCUAAGCUUACACCAGAAGAAGCAAAAGCAAUGGAGCAGAAGGAAGGGUUCGUGUCAGCAAGACUUGAGAGAACAUUGUCUCUACAUACAACUCACACUCCCAACUUCCUGGGUCUCCAUCUAGGAGCUGGUUGGAACUCUUCAAAUCUAGGAGAAGGAGUGAUCAUAGGUAUGAUUGACAGUGGCAUCAAAUAUGAUCAUCCUUCGUUUUGUGACCAAGGUAUGCCUCCACCUCCUGCAAAAUGGAAA
RNAcentral lists this long non-coding RNA (4399 nucleotides) under Linum usitatissimum (flax). RNAcentral describes it as "long non-coding RNA (LUSI_LNC004457)". Lineage: Eukaryota; Viridiplantae; Streptophyta; Magnoliopsida; Malpighiales; Linaceae. The record is from RNAcentral.